AUGCCCAAUGAUUAAGAAAAGACGCGUUAUUAUGAGGACAGAAGCUGGCGUCUCCUCCUGCCCCCCCCCCCCCCCCCCCCAUCUUCCUCCUUUUCUUCUUCUCCUAUCUUCACCGCUGUCUCCCUAUUCUGGAGUAACCAGCGUCCUUUGAGCACAAUUAUGAGAUAUGAGGGCAU
Molecule: small nucleolar RNA, 176 nt
Organism: Bufo bufo (common toad)
Lineage: Eukaryota; Metazoa; Chordata; Amphibia; Anura; Bufonidae
Product: small nucleolar RNA SNORD97
Exons: 1
Source: RefSeq, a predicted model, not a curated record